UACAGAGGCCCCAAGCGUUAUCCGGAUUUAUUGGGCGUAAAGAGCUCAUAGGCGGUUUGCUCAGUCGAGCAUGAAAGCCCGGAGCUCAACUUCGGAUCCGUGCUCGAAACUAGCAAACUAGAGACCGGGAAGGGCAAGCGGAAUUGCCGGUGUAGCAGUUAAAUGCGUUAAUAUCGGCAGGAACACCAAUGGCGAAGGCAGCUUGCUAGAACGGUUCUGACGCUACAGAGCGAAAGCGUGGGUAGCGAAUGGG
RNAcentral lists this unclassified non-coding RNA (253 nucleotides) under Patescibacteria group bacterium. RNAcentral's name for it is "contains 16S-23S intergenic spacer region". It matches the Rfam family "Bacterial small subunit ribosomal RNA", at positions 524 to 776 of the family's 1533-position model. The record is from RNAcentral.